GCAGGUCGUCGCGACUGGCGUUCGGAUGGAGCAACCAUCGGGGAGCGACGACGCCGUUCUUGCCGCCGCGCGCCUGGGCACCCCGU
Molecule: non-coding RNA, 86 nt
Filed under: Conexibacter woesei
Lineage: Bacteria; Bacillati; Actinomycetota; Thermoleophilia; Solirubrobacterales; Conexibacteraceae
Also listed under: 1 other name
Description: ZTP sequence
Rfam family: ZMP/ZTP riboswitch aptamer (pfl RNA motif)
About the family: Previously known as pfl RNA.
Source: RNAcentral